CUACCGCCGGCGACCGGCGCACGGGUGAGUAACACGUAUGAAACCUGCCCGUAGCAGGGGGAUAAGCGGAAGAAAUUCCGUCUAAUACCGCGUAACAACCCGAGGAGGCAUCUCCUCGGGUUUAAAGGAAGCGAUUCCGGCUACGGAUGGUCAUGCGUCGCAUUAGCUAGUUGGCGGGGUAACGGCCCACCAAGGCGACGAUGCGUAGGGGUUCUGAGAGGAAGGUCCCCCACACUGGUACUGAGACACGGACCAGACUCCUACGGAAGGCAGCAG
This 276-nucleotide ribosomal RNA is filed under the name uncultured bacterium. RNAcentral describes it as "partial 16S ribosomal RNA". It matches the Rfam family "Bacterial small subunit ribosomal RNA", at positions 82 to 354 of the family's 1533-position model. The record is from RNAcentral.